RNAcentral lists this long non-coding RNA (206 nucleotides) under Ananas comosus (pineapple). Its description in RNAcentral is "long non-coding RNA (ACOM_LNC043190)". Lineage: Eukaryota; Viridiplantae; Streptophyta; Magnoliopsida; Poales; Bromeliaceae. The record is from RNAcentral.
AAUGUCUCAAUCGACUCAUCAACAACCUCUCCAUGUGAGGUUACUUAGGUUUACUAAGUUCUUGUCCACAAGGCAUUUUCUAAGGGAUCCACCUAUCCCUAGGUUCUCAAACCUCUAGUGUUAUUUACACUACAUUAAUGCCACUCGUCAUCAUUUAACAUUUGGAUGCCACUCGUUUGUUCUUUAACAUUAACAAUACUUUCUAU